Molecule: long non-coding RNA, 216 nt
Filed under: Capsella rubella
Lineage: Eukaryota; Viridiplantae; Streptophyta; Magnoliopsida; Brassicales; Brassicaceae
Description: long non-coding RNA (CRUB_LNC002892)
Source: RNAcentral
UAUAAUCAAACAGAUAAGCGAAAAUAUCUAGAAAUUAACUAAAAGUGGAAACUUUGACCCAAGAAAAAAAUAAAAAAUAAUACUACAAGUGGAAACUUUGAACCCCAAAAAAAAAAAAAAUUUAAGUCAAACAUAUAAAAUCAUGAAAAAGAAAGAGAUCAUAUUGUGUGAUUAUAUAACAUUCUAAUGAAGCGUGUGGGUUAUGUUAAAAGUCCG